This 177-nucleotide ribosomal RNA is filed under the name uncultured bacterium. RNAcentral describes it as "partial 16S ribosomal RNA". It matches the Rfam family "Bacterial small subunit ribosomal RNA", at positions 1324 to 1500 of the family's 1533-position model. The record is from RNAcentral.
AGCUGGAAUCGCUAGUAAUCGCGGAUCAGAAUGCCGCGGUGAAUACGUUCCCGGGUCUUGUACACACCGCCCGUCACACCAUGGGAGUCAGUAACGCCCGAAGUCAGUGACCUAACCGAAAGGGAGGAGCUGCCGAAGGCGGGACGGAUGACUGGGGUGAAGUCGUAACAAGGUAAC